Long non-coding RNA from Sapajus apella (tufted capuchin), 102 nucleotides. RefSeq lists it as uncharacterized. NCBI's taxonomy places the organism in Eukaryota, Metazoa, Chordata, Mammalia, Primates, Cebidae. The transcript has 3 exons. The record is from RefSeq and is a predicted model, not a curated record.
GAACAGCAAAAUGAGCUAACUUUUCUUGUGACUGUCUUAUUCUGCUUCUGCCUUUCAACAACCAUAUCAGAGGAGAGUUCAUGAGUUUAUGUCUUCAUGAGG